RNAcentral lists this unclassified non-coding RNA (323 nucleotides) under Athalia rosae (coleseed sawfly). Its description in RNAcentral is "misc RNA ENSAEAG00005010065.1". Lineage: Eukaryota; Metazoa; Arthropoda; Insecta; Hymenoptera; Athaliidae. The record is from RNAcentral.
UAUGGACAGAAAAUUUUACUGGAAAGAAGCCAAUCCCGAUGAACUUCAUUCCGUGACUUCAUAUACCAAUCAUUCCAAUGGAUUUGCCAAAAUGAACGACACCUGGUCGCGUUGACGUGAAAUUCGACGUGCCGUAACGUAGGUAUGUAACUGGACAAAAAAAGGGAGAAAACCGUUCAAAAAAAAAAUAGAAUGGGGACACCUGCAUGAAAUCUACUAUAGAAUUGCAUUCGCGAAAACGAGUUUACCGAUCGUUACUAUUCGCUACUCGCGCUGCCGCACUCAAUAGCGAUGAAACCUUGCCCUGAUCUAGAAAAUCUAUU